This 1269-nucleotide ribosomal RNA is filed under the name uncultured Sebacina. RNAcentral describes it as "eukaryotic LSU rRNA". The stretch from base 599 to 1269 matches the Rfam family "Eukaryotic large subunit ribosomal RNA", at positions 1 to 650 of the family's 3401-position model. Lineage: Eukaryota; Fungi; Basidiomycota; Agaricomycetes; Sebacinales; Sebacinaceae. The record is from RNAcentral.
GAAGUAAAAGUCGUAACAAGGUUUCCGUAGGUGAACCUGCGGAAGGAUCAUUAAUGAAACUUCAAAGUCGGCCAAAGGUUGUUGCUGGUGAUUAUUCACAUGUGCACGCCUUUGGUCGCAAAUCCACACACACCUGUGCAUCUAUGACUCGAGGUUGUAAUGACUGAGAGUAACUUUUAUACACUCUUGUAUGUAAUGGAAUGUCUUUUUGUGCUAUAAUGUACAAUAUAAACAACUUUCAACAACGGAUCUCUUGGCUCUCGCAUCGAUGAAGAACGCAGCGAAAUGCGAUAAGUAAUGUGAAUUGCAGAAUUCAGUGAAUCAUCGAAUCUUUGAACGCACCUUGCACCCUUUGGUAUUCCGAAGGGUACGCCCGUUUGAGUGUCAUUGUAAUCUCACUUCUACAACUUUAUUGUUGUUUGAAUGUGGACUUGGAUGUUGCCGUUUUAUCACGGCUCGUCUUAAAUGCCUGAGUGUACCCUGUUUUGCAGCGUAUCCAGUGUAAUACACAUUUCACUAGAGUUGGUCGAAAGACCGCGUUGACUAUAUGGGCUCUAUGCUUCAAACCGUCUGCCAUGUGGACAAUUUCUUGACAAUUUGACCUCAAAUCGGGUGGGACUACCCGCUGAACUUAAGCAUAUCAAUAAGCGGAGGAAAAGAAACUAACAAGGAUUCCCCUAGUAACGGCGAGUGAAGAGGGAAAAGCUCAAAUUUUAAAUCUGGUGUCUUUGACUCCCGAGUUGUAAUCUAGAGAAGUGUUUUCYGUGUCGGACCGUGUACAAGUUCCCUGGAACGGGGCGUCAUAGAGGGUGAGAAUCCCGUAUAUGCCACGGACUACCGAUGCUCUGUGAUACACUCUCAACGAGUCGAGUUGUUUGGGAAUGCAGCUCAAAAUGGGUGGUAAAUUCCAUCUAAAGCUAAAUAUUGGCGAGAGACCGAUAGCGAACAAGUACCGUGAGGGAAAGAUGAAAAGCACUUUGGAAAGAGAGUGAAACAGUACGUGAAAUUGUUGAAAGGGAAGCGUUUGAAGUCAGUCGCAUCUGUUGGGGUUCAGCCUGGCUUUUGCCUGGUGUAUUUCCUUUCCGAUGGGUCAGCAUCAGUUUCGACCGAGGGAAAAAGACAUUUGGAAUGUGGCUGUCUUCGGGCAGUGUUAUAGCCUUGUGUUGUAUGUCUCGGUUGGGACUGAGGAUUGCAGCGCGCCAUAAAUGGCCGGGGGUCGCUCCUCUCGACACGCGCUUAGGAUGCUGGCAUAAUGGCUUUAAGCGACCC